Triticum urartu is the source of this 6544-nucleotide long non-coding RNA. RefSeq lists it as uncharacterized. The record is from RefSeq and is a predicted model, not a curated record. Lineage: Eukaryota; Viridiplantae; Streptophyta; Magnoliopsida; Poales; Poaceae.
AACGGUUAACCUAAAAAAAAAAUAGCCAGAAGCUCGCACCCGAAUCCUCGUGCCCUCGACGCGGCCUCGGAGACCCGCCAUUGCGGAACCCCUCCAUCUUUCAGACCACAUCGCCGCCGCCGCCGACCUCUCCCAGUCCCUCUCGUACCACGCCGCCGGCCCCCCUCCCCUCCCCUCCCCUCAUCAUAAAGAAGGAGAGACAGGGAUGCUCUUCCUCAGACGGCGGCGGCGGCCAGAUCGAGCAGGGCAGGGCACCACACGGCGCUCUCCGAUCCGCCACGGUCGCAAGAGGAAUCGCGCCGGAUGGGAGAGGACCGUCUGCUACGACUGCUUCAUGCGUCGUUGUUGGAGAUGCUCGCGCGCCGGGAGCUUCCUCCGCUCUCCCCCUGCCCCGACCGUAGACGCAGCAGCAGCGCACACCGCCAUUGGUUGUGGCUGGUUGUACCUCGGAGCUCCUUCCUUCCUGCUUCCUCUGAUUGCGCCUCCGGGGACUAGCGAUGAACUUGUUUUCUGGAUCCCAAAUGGAGGAUGAAGUUGAAUAUAUAUACUACAGCCGGAUGAUCAAGUCCAAGUAUUCGUAUGUUGCUAUAUUGUUAGUCACUAGCAUGUGCCCAUGGCACCCAAGCUGGCGUAGGCGCUGCAGAUUGCCCUCUCGCCAAAGCCUCAACCAGCUGGUGAAAUAGCUGCAGAAUUACAGUGUACCUCAAAUUUCAUAAUUGGGAACUGCAGUCAUGGGUAUCUUGUGGCUUCAUCAGUUCAUCACUAUCUUAUAAGGCGGGAAUUACUCAGCACAAUAUUACUCAUGCACUGGAAAAGACCAAAUAUCCAGAUCGAGACAUACUGGAGGAAAUUUGAUGAGAAGUAUCAUUUUUCUUGUCAGUUUACUUCUGAUAUAAUCGCUAUGAACACUGUUGAUUUCAUAAUCAAUGCACUUGAUGUUUCACGAUCUGUACUGCAGAUUUUCAGAACACUAAGGGCAUAUCUUGGCUUGGAAUGCUGAUGGUUGGGCGAACGUCAUGGAUCAUGGCAAGUGCGAUUUUCAGAACACUAAGGGCAUAUCUUGGCUUGGAAUGCUCAUGGUUCGACGAACGUCAUGGAUCAUGGCAAGUGCUCCUCUCCACUUCCCCUCCCUGCUAAAAAUCAGUUCCAAUUGUUGUACAAGUUUCCCGAUAUGGCUUUCUGAAUUUUAAUUUGUCGCUUGUUCUGUCGUACUCGGUGGUUAUUGUUUGGCCUACAUAUAGAGGUAAAUGUUUUGUAUGAGAUUAUUUAUCCGGACCUCACCGAUGAUUACUUGAACUCAGGUUGGACAACAUAUGAAAUGUUAAAUUUAGCAAGAUAUUGCGAUUCGAUUUCUCUUUCAAUGUCAUCAUCCUGCAAUGGAUGUGUAUGUCUAUUUUGUCAUCUAGUUGCGAUGCAUGGGCACUUUCAUUUGAUUAUACAGUUCUACUGCGGGAAGGGAAAUAUGGACUCUGGAUGUCCAUUUCUGAGGUGUCAAUCUGGUGCUCGGCUAUAUAGUACAGGGAAGAGUUCUUCUAGAUCCUAAUACAGGUAAUCUGAUUCAUAGCUUAGGCGCAUUUUUCUUUAUUCAUAGUUAGCUAAUAGCAAUAACAUCUGCACUUUCCCUACAACCUAUAUUGAAGGUAAAGUAAUGAUUUCACAUAGGCACUUUCCCUACAACCUAUAUCGAAGGUACUAACUGCAAUAUUUUCCAUAUGAACCUGAUAAAGAUAGUACUAAUACCUUGAAUUUCUACAAAGAAUAGGUGACACCAAGUUGCCAACCAUCUUUGGACCUGUCAUCUUUUUCCCCACUAGGGCGCUUCCUUCAAAUUUAUCAAUUUGGAGACAUGGGUGCCCUCAAGUUGACACGCUUGUUCUUAUUGUUGCUUACGUAUGAAUUUCCUGAGAGCUGCUUACGUAUUUUUUAUUCAUGAAUUACAUGACCAAUGAGUCAGGUGUGAAAAUGCUUUAUAAAUCAAGACAACCAACAUGCUGAAAUUUUGGAGCAAUUGCUGAAGGAAAGUACCACUUACUCUUGUUUCAAGUAGAUUUCAUCAUUUUAUUCUUAGAGUCAGCUACAUAGUUAAUAUUGCAAAACUUAUAGUUCAUGGUGAAGGAAAGUACCUAUUGCAAGUAGACUUCAUCAUCUUAUUCUUAGAGACAGCUACAUAUGGUUAAUAUUGCAAAACUUAAAGUUCCGGUUUGUGAUAUGUACGUCCCCCUCUGCAGAAAUGCUUAAUACUACUAUGAGAAAAGUAGGGAAAUGCUCACCCUCUGCAAAAUGUAUUGGUUCGUCUCGCGGUCUCACCCCCAAAAAUAGAGGAGAGGAGCAAGGAGCUCCUCCAUCACACUCGUAGGCUCCAAGGAGCCCGUCGCCAUGCAUGGAGGAGAGGAGCAGGGAGCUCCGCCGCCGCAUAAGGUUAUAUCCAUUGUUGCAUCUUGUAAUUAUUAAUUUGGAAUAAAUCAUGCAAUUGGCAUUUAUAUAAGUUUGUAGGCAAACCAAGUCUGCAACGUUUGAAUAUUAUACUCGGUGAGUUGCUCAACUACUUACAGUCCUAUUACUUGAGACUUAUACUUGAUCAGUUGCCGUGUACAUUAUUAUGACAUAGAUGAAACCAUGUCUAUGUUGAAGCCAGAUGGAACUGACCAUCUAAACAUAUGUCAAAUUAUUGUAGUACAUGCUUCAGUACUGCAAGUUGGAGUAGCAAGUAAGUAUAAAUCAAAAGAAAGUAUUGCUUCAGUACUGACCAUCUAAAAAGUUCAGUUGUUUACUGACAUGUGCAUCUUGUUCAUCCUUUUGUUAUUGAAUUUGGAAACGCGUGUAAGGUUUCCGUAUCUUGAAGUUAUGAAUACUGAGAAGUGCAAGCCUUUCUCUUCUAGAAAAUUACGGAAUUGGCUCACACACUAUCAAAUAAUUUGAUGCACUCUUUUUUUAUUUUAAAUGGUUAGGAGGAACAAGUGAAGGCUUCUAUUUUGGAUCAGUUCUUUUAUUGCAUAGUUGGAUAACAAUUUCUUAAUGAUUAUUAGAAUGAUACUCAAACAUAUGAACGUUCUCCAUAAUCAGAUUAAAUCACUCCUGCAGCCUGCAACUGUAGUAAAUAAAAUUAUUUAGAUUCAAGCUAAAAAAGAAUUAUUCAGAUUCUACCAUGUAUCUACUUACAAACUAAAAGAGAAUGUAACCAUAUAAUGAUUAUUUAGAUUCAAGCUAGAAAAGAAUUAUCCACACGCCAACAAUUUAGGUAAGAGAUUUACGCCCCGCUUGGAAUCGGUGUAUCUAUAUCCUGUAUUUAUUUUACAAGUGUAUUUUACCGGCCACGCUUGAUAAUCCACCUGGAUAAAAAAAGAUGGAUGGAGGCGUGUAAAUUUUACAGGUGUAUAGCGCUCUGAAACGAGAAUCCAAUCAGGCCCUUAGAUUAUUUGUGUAGGUUAUUAUAAUAUAUAAUGCAGAGAUCUCAGGGUAUAAGGUGCAGCAAUAAGUCUUGGUUUUAUUUUGCAUUUUGAGUACUGAAUUACAAAAGAUAUGAUGCUUGCACGUAAUUUCAGUGUCAUGAUAAUUUUCACUUCACAAAAAGAUUGAAACAUUGCUCCUACAACUGUGGUACCUGUUUGCUGUGAUGGAAGGUUACGGGUAAGCUCACUUAUCACAGGAAAGAAAUGAUUGGUUCAGUGUGCUUCACGAAAUUAACUUGCCACUGCAACACAAUUUACAGUUCAUCAGUUUUGAGCCUAAGUUCCAUUUUAUUGAUGCUUCCUUUAUACAUAGAUUUAUUGGCUUGCCUCUUCCUCUGCCAUUUGAUUUCCUUCAGAUUACUUGCAUCAUAAAUUUCAAGGUUACAGAUCUGGCACUGAAUGAGACAAUCAUUAUUAGGAUUGAAGGAUGCUUCAAUGAUGCUGUCAGCAGUAAGAAACACUUGCAAAUUAUUAAAACAAAAUGGCCUGCCGAGAUCAAUAUCGGUGACAUAGAUAGCUUUAAUGGGAUGAUGAAGCAUUUGACCUGAGACGAGUGUCGGGAGGGGCUAAGCAUGAUUGCGACGAGGGCGAGACGUUGCUGCGACCGUGACCGCAACCGGUGGAGCGAGGCGCCGGUGAUCGUGUUUUCCGCUGGUGUUUCUGAUCUGCCGUGCUCGGUUUUUGGCAGCUUCGAUCCAAUUGAUCCCCUCCAGAAGCAUUCAGGUGAGUGAGCAACUUACGCUCCACCAAUGCAGGCAGUGGCGGAGCUUAGUGUAGACCAACAGGGGCCAUGGCCCCCCCUUAUUUUUUGCAUCCAUUGAAGAAUAGGCUACAUUAUGAGCCUAAUUAGUGUUUAAACUACAAAUUAGCCCCUCCUUCCCUAUUAACUUGGUUCCUUUUCACUAAUGGCCCCCUCUUGAAUUACUCUCAAGCUCUGCCACUGAAUGCAGGCGUCUAGAGGUUCAACUGCGUGGGCAGGAGCUCGGUUGGUUUGCUUAUAUGCAUUUUUUUUCUUCAACAUUGGAUUAUUUUGGUAGUUCAUGCAUGUCCGUCCUCUUUAUAUGGUUUUUCUCAUAAUUCACGCCCCAAAGAUAGGUUCUUUUAGUUACUACAUAUUUUAGUUUUUUCUGCUUACUGUCAUGUCCACUUUCUUGUCUGAUUAAGCAACUAAUAUAUGAAUAUCUGUGCACAGUUCUACCAUUUUUGCACUCACUUAUGGGGCCAUCUAUGUUGAGUUUGUUCUGCUAUUCUCCAACUUAAAUCAAGAAUGCAGUCUCAUGUCAUUGUCUUUGCUAAUACAGAUUGUAAUGCAAUCCAAUUGUAGUGUCAUGUUUCAGCUCCUUUUAUUUUAAUCGUGAUGUGCAUGGUUGUUCAUGUUCUCUUCUUGCCAUGCACUAAUCGAAGUGUACAUGUAGAUGCUCAAAAUUGCUUAUCAUCAAAUUACUUGACUUAUGUACUGCUUGGACUUGUUUAAUUAAAGAGACGUCUCUUUAAAUUGACUAUAUUUACUUGUCACACAUCAUUUGGGUCUUUUGCAUUGCCGAGAGUUGUUACCCGAAAGUUCAUACAUUGUAUAAUUUCUUGUUAUCCUUCUGUGCAUGGAGUCAUCUUCUGGGUAGUACAAUCCAGGUCGACCAUGCUGAGAUAAUCAUCAUUUUAAUUAUGACAGCUUACCAAGUUUAAUAUUUCAGUUCUCCGAAACAUAAUCUGAUUAUGACAGCUUAUCAAAUUUAAUAUUCUGCACAUGGUGAACUUCAUCAAAUUAGGAUACGGAUACCUACUUGUUUUAUCAUUCUAUCAGCAACCUAAGCUCUUACUAUAAGAUAUUAAACCCAUUUGUAUUUCAGACCUUGCACGCUUCUGAUGGGGAAGAAAAAAGUGACUUGUCCCUAUGGAGACAAUGGAUCUCUGUAUCAAGGCUGCCGGCGGAAGCUUACGCCAGUCGCCCGUGAUUCGUUCAAUCGCGUCUCAUCUACCGGUUCUCCCUAAUGCACACAUCCAGGCGAUUCAAUCCCCUCCUUCAUCCUUACCUCAUGAGGAAACCGCCAGCCACUCGUUCUGUCUCAUUCCUCUCAUCUCUCAAGCUCGUUUUGUCCCUCUCUCACAGCACCUUUUUUCUCCUUUUCAUCUAGCGUCACUACCGGACGUAGUUGCGAGGGUGAAUGUGGGGGGCAGGUGGCGAGCCGAAUGCAAGUGCAAGUGAGGCGUCUGGCGACGGGCAGCAAGGACGAACGCGUGCACGAGCCGUGCUGCUGCAGGAGGCGCCGCAACGUGAUGCAACUGAGGAGCUACAACCGCCGGUUAGUGAAGCUGCAACUGUCAGAUGGUGCCUACAUUCAGACGGCCGGCAACGAUGACUGCCCGACUGCCGGCUGCGUGUGGAGACAAGCAUGGCGAGAUGGAAAGCUGCGACAGGCAAAGAUUUUUGCUGGAACCGGUGACAUGUUUUGUUGGGACUGACAGGGCGAUGUGCUACGACGGUGACGCAGGGGCGGCGACGGUAUGUUGGGACCGGGAAGACGAAUAACUUCAACCGACAAUGAUAUUUGCUGGAACCAGUGGCAUGUUUUGUUGGGACCGGAGGAGCGACGUGCUUGCAUCGGUGACGGUGUGCGGGGACCAGCAAGACGAAAAGCUACAACCGCCAAUGAUUUUUGCUGGAACCAUUCAUGAUGGCACCGCGACACGUGACACGGGGGGGGGGGGGGGGGGGGGGGGGGGUCGCGUUUUUGCUGCACCUAUUAUCAUUUUUGCUACGCCCGAUGUUGAAGAUGCUAUGGUGACGGGGCUCGUCGCUGCAACCAUUGGAAGGCCAGACAAGUGCUUCCUGCUUCCUAGGAAGGCAAGGAAUCAAGUACUGCAACGUCCGCCACUUUUUGCUGCGACAACCUUUGGAUGGGCGCAGCGAGCCGCGGCGCUGCAAGCGGUCGAUGAGGGGGUCAUGCGCUAUCUUUCCUACGACGAGGGACGGAACGAGCACCGAGGUGCCUCGAGCUGGUGGGCGCGAGAUGAAUUUUAGGCGGCUGUUCCAUGUCUAUUUUUGCUUGUUAUGACAGAGAUGGAGAUAGAUUAUGUCGAUAUUCAGCAACGAUCUA